RNAcentral lists this ribosomal RNA (494 nucleotides) under uncultured bacterium. RNAcentral describes it as "partial 16S ribosomal RNA". It matches the Rfam family "Bacterial small subunit ribosomal RNA", at positions 29 to 507 of the family's 1533-position model. The record is from RNAcentral.
AUGAACGCUGGCGGCGUGCCUAAUACAUGCAAGUCGAGCGAACAGACGAGGAGCUUGCUCCUCUGACGUUAGCGGCGGACGGGUGUAACACGUGGAUAACCUACCUAUAAGACUGGGAUAACUUCGGGAAACCGGAGCUAAUACCGGAUAAUAUAUUGAACCGCAUGGUUCAAUAGUGAAAGACGGUUUUGCUGUCACUUAUAGAUGGAUCCGCGCCGCAUUAGCUAGUUGGUAAGGUAACGGCUUACCAAGGCAACGAUGCGUAGCCGACCUGAGAGGGUGAUCGGCCACACUGGAACUGAGACACGGUCCAGACUCCUACGGGAGGCAGCAGUAGGGAAUCUUCCGCAAUGGGCGAAAGCCUGACGGAGCAACGCCGCGUGAGUGAUGAAGGUCUUCGGAUCGUAAAACUCUGUUAUUAGGGAAGAACAAAUGUGUAAGUAACUAUGCACGUCUUGACGGUACCUAAUCAGAAAGCCACGGCUAACUACGUG